CACCGGCAGCUCAAGUGGUAGCCAUUUUUAUUGGGCCUAAAGCGUUCGUAGCCGGUUUGAUAAGUCUCUGGUGAAAUCCUAUGGCUUAACUGUGGGAAUUGCUGGAGAUACUAUUAGACUUGAGGUCGGGAGAGGUUAGCGGUACUCCCAGGGUAGGGGUGAAAUCCUGUAAUCCUGGGAGGACCACCUGUGGCGAAGGCGGCUAACUGGAACGAACCUGACGGUGAGGGACGAAAGCCAGGGGCGCGAACCGGAUUAGAUACCCCCGUAGUCC
Molecule: ribosomal RNA, 274 nt
Filed under: uncultured bacterium
Lineage: Bacteria
Description: partial 16S ribosomal RNA
Rfam family: Archaeal small subunit ribosomal RNA
Source: RNAcentral